UACGGAGGGGGCUAGCGUUGUUCGGAAUUACUGGGCGUAAAGCGCGCGUAGGCGGCUUUGUAAGUUAGAGGUGAAAGCCCGGAGCUUAACUCCGGAAUUGCCUUUAAGACUGCAUCGCUAGAAUUGUGGAGAGGUAAGUGGAAUUCCGAGUGUAGAGGUGAAAUUCGUAGAUAUUCGGAAGAACACCAGUGGCGAAGGCGACUUACUGGACACAUAUUGACGCUGGGGUGCGAAAGCGUGGGGAGCAAACAGG
This 253-nucleotide ribosomal RNA is filed under the name uncultured bacterium. Its description in RNAcentral is "partial 16S ribosomal RNA". It matches the Rfam family "Bacterial small subunit ribosomal RNA", at positions 524 to 776 of the family's 1533-position model. The record is from RNAcentral.